Molecule: non-coding RNA, 45 nt
Organism: Schistosoma haematobium
Lineage: Eukaryota; Metazoa; Platyhelminthes; Trematoda; Strigeidida; Schistosomatidae
Source: Rfam
AUCCAGCUGACGAGUCCCAAAUAGGAAGAAACGGGCGUCCUGGAU